AACGAACGCUGGCGGCAGGCCUAACACAUGCAAGUCGAGCGAGGACUUCGGUUCUAGCGGCGGACGGGUGAGUAACGCGUGGGAAUGUGCCCUUCUCUACGGAAUAGCCCUGGGAAACUGGGAGUAAUACCGUAUACGCCCUAUCGGGGAAAGAUUUAUCGGAGAAGGAUCAGCCCGCGUUGGAUUAGGUAGUUGGUGGGGUAAUGGCCUACCAAGCCGACGAUCCAUAGCUGGUUUGAGAGGAUGAUCAGCCACACUGGGCCUGAGACACGGCCCAGACUCCUACGGGAGGCAGCAGUGGGGAAUCUUAGACAAUGGGGGCAACCCUGAUCGAGCCAUGCCGCGUGAGUGAUGAAGGCCUGAGGGUUGUAAAGCUCUUUCAGCUGGGAAGAUAAUGACGGUACCAGCAGAAGAAGCCCCGGCUAACUCCGUG
This 433-nucleotide ribosomal RNA is filed under the name uncultured bacterium. RNAcentral describes it as "partial 16S ribosomal RNA". It matches the Rfam family "Bacterial small subunit ribosomal RNA", at positions 29 to 507 of the family's 1533-position model. The record is from RNAcentral.